AUCCAGUUAUUGAGUCUCAAAUAGGACGAAACGCGCGUCCUGGAU
Non-coding RNA from Schistosoma rodhaini, 45 nucleotides. Lineage: Eukaryota; Metazoa; Platyhelminthes; Trematoda; Strigeidida; Schistosomatidae. The record is from Rfam.